GCCUAGGUGGCUCAGUGGGUUAAGCAUCUGACUCUUGGUUUCAUCUUAGGUUGUGAUCUCAGGGUUUGUGGGUUCAAGCCCUGCACUGGGCU
This 92-nucleotide transfer RNA is filed under the name Felis catus (domestic cat). It matches the Rfam family "tRNA". From Rfam's summary of the family: Transfer RNA (tRNA) molecules are approximately 80 nucleotides in length. Their secondary structure includes four short double-helical elements and three loops (D, anti-codon, and T loops). Further hydrogen bonds mediate the characteristic L-shaped molecular structure. tRNAs have two regions of fundamental functional importance: the anti-codon, which is responsible for specific mRNA codon recognition, and the 3' end, to which the tRNAs corresponding amino acid is attached (by aminoacyl-tRNA synthetases). tRNAs cope with the degeneracy of the genetic code in two manners: having more than one tRNA (with a specific anti-codon) for a particular amino acid; and 'wobble' base-pairing, i.e. permitting non-standard base-pairing at the 3rd anti-codon position. Lineage: Eukaryota; Metazoa; Chordata; Mammalia; Carnivora; Felidae. The record is from Rfam by way of RNAcentral.